GUGGGGAAUUUUGGACAAUGGGCGCAAGCCUGAUCCAGCAAUGCCGCGUGCAGGAAGAAGGCCUUCGGGUUGUAAACUGCUUUUGUACGGAACGAAAAGGUUCGGGUUAAUACCCUGGGCUCAUGACGGUACCGUAAGAAUAAGCACCGGCUAACUCCGUGCCAGCAGCCGCGGUAAUACGUAGGGUGCAAGCGUUAAUCGGAAUUACUGGGCGUAAAGCGUGCGCAGGCGGUUUUGUAAGACAGGCGUGAAAUCCCCGGGCUCAACCUGGGAAUGGCGCUUGUGACUGCAAAGCUGGAGUGCGGCAGAGGGGGAUGGAAUUCCGCGUGUAGCAGUGAAAUGCGUAGAUAUGCGGAGGAACACCAAUGGCGAAGGCAAUCCCCUGGGCCUGCACUGACGCUCAUGCACGAAAGCGUGGGGAGCAAACAGGAUUAGAAACCCCUGUAGUCC
Molecule: ribosomal RNA, 450 nt
Filed under: uncultured bacterium
Lineage: Bacteria
Description: partial 16S ribosomal RNA
Rfam family: Bacterial small subunit ribosomal RNA
Source: RNAcentral